RNAcentral lists this ribosomal RNA (583 nucleotides) under uncultured bacterium. RNAcentral describes it as "partial 16S ribosomal RNA". It matches the Rfam family "Bacterial small subunit ribosomal RNA", at positions 355 to 935 of the family's 1533-position model. The record is from RNAcentral.
UGGGGAAUUUUGGACAAUGGGGGAAACCCUGAUCCAGCCAUCCCGCGUGUGCGAUGAAGGCCUUCGGGUCGUAAAGCACUUUUGGCAGGAAAGAAACGUCGCGGGCUAAUACCCCGCGAAACUGACGGUACCUGCAGAAUAAGCACCGGCUAACUACGUGCCAGCAGCCGCGGUAAUACGUAGGGUGCAAGCGUUAAUCGGAAUUACUGGGCGUAAAGCGUGCGCAGGCGGUUCGGAAAGAAAGAUGUGAAAUCCCAGAGCUUAACUUUGGAACUGCAUUUUUAACUACCGGGCUAGAGUGUGUCAGAGGGAGGUGGAAUUCCGCGUGUAGCAGUGAAAUGCGUAGAUAUGCGGAGGAACACCGAUGGCGAAGGCAGCCUCCUGGGAUAACACUGACGCUCAUGCACGAAAGCGUGGGGAGCAAACAGGAUUAGAUACCCUGGUAGUCCACGCCCUAAACGAUGUCAACUAGCUGUUGGGGCCUUCGGGCCUUGGUAGCGCAGCUAACGCGUGAAGUUGACCGCCUGGGGAGUACGGUCGCAAGAUUAAAACUUAAAGGAAUUGACGGGGGUCAUAGCUGUUU